AGGGGUUCCUGUGCCGUCGGAGGAUGGAUGGAAAGGCUGCUGAACUUUGGUUCGAAUUAUCCUGCGAAAUGACAGUUAAAAGAACACGAUGAGUCGAAGUUGCAGCUGGUUGGCUGGAUCACAUUACGGAAAUGUCUUGUGUGGGUCGGCCCAUGAUCUCUCUUCAGCUCAUUAAAAUGUAAUGCUGCUGGCCAGCUCUAUGGAACAGUGCCUCCUAACCAAAGUUCAUUACUCCUGCUUGCAGGUUCCUUUGAUGCAUUCAGGUGUACGGAGGAAUGGGCAGCCUAUUGAAGCAUUGCAGACCACCUGAGAGUUGUUUUCUGGACUCUGGGAGGUCACCUGACACCAGUGAUCUGGAGAAGGUGCACCGCACUGGAUUUCAUAUGAAAAUAUCUUACAGCUUUGGAAUGACAUGAGACUG
Carassius carassius (crucian carp) is the source of this 421-nucleotide long non-coding RNA. RefSeq lists it as uncharacterized. NCBI's taxonomy places the organism in Eukaryota, Metazoa, Chordata, Actinopteri, Cypriniformes, Cyprinidae. The record is from RefSeq and is a predicted model, not a curated record. The transcript has 4 exons.